AGCCUUCUGUAUCCGAGCUGAGAUUUCAUUACACACCAGACCACAAGGGCUGAUGAGACUCACAGAAUAAGUGAUGUA
Molecule: microRNA precursor, 78 nt
Filed under: Schistosoma margrebowiei
Lineage: Eukaryota; Metazoa; Platyhelminthes; Trematoda; Strigeidida; Schistosomatidae
Description: mir-3492 microRNA precursor family
Rfam family: mir-3492 microRNA precursor family
Source: Rfam by way of RNAcentral